GUGAAAUCUUUGUAUUAUCCACGUCCGUCUGUCCGUCUGUCCGUAACCACAACUCCUCCGGCAAUAUAGCAGCUAGAAUGACAAAUGAGGUGUCAAAUGAAAGCUGAUAAUCCAAGGAUGGUACUAAAGGUGAGAUAUUUGACCUUGGCGGUCUGUCCGUCGGUCUGUACGACCGCGAAUAUAACUCCUCCAUCAUUAUACCAGGUAGAAUGACAAAUGAGGUGUCAAAUGAAAGCUGAUAAUCCUAGGAUUGUACUAAAGGUGAGAUAUUUGACCUAGGCGGUCUGUACGUCGGUCCCUCCGACCGCGAAUAUAACUCCUCCGUCAUUAUACCAGGUAGAAUGACAAAUGAGGUGUCAAAUGAAAGCUGAUAAUCCAAGGAUGGUACUAAAGGUGAGAUAUUUGACCUUGGCGGUCUGUCCGUCGGUCUGUACGACCGCGAAUAUAACUCCUCCAUCAUUAUACCAGGUAGAAUGACAAAUGAGGUGUCAAAUGAAAGCUGAUAAUCCAAGGAUGGUACUUAAGGUGAGAUAUUUAACUUAGGCGGUCUGUACGUCGGUCCCUCCGACCGCGAAUAUAACUCCUCCAUCGUUAUACCAGCUUAAAUGAUAAAUGAGGUGUCAAAUGAAAGCUUAUAAUCCAAGGAUGGUACUAAAGGUGAGAUAUUUGACCUAGGCUGUCUUUCCGUCGGUCCGUACGACCGCGAAUAUAACUUCUCCGUCAUUAUACCAGGUAGAAUGACAAAUGAGGUG
Diabrotica virgifera virgifera (western corn rootworm) is the source of this 752-nucleotide long non-coding RNA. RefSeq lists it as uncharacterized. The record is from RefSeq and is a predicted model, not a curated record. The transcript is spliced from 4 exons. NCBI's taxonomy places the organism in Eukaryota, Metazoa, Arthropoda, Insecta, Coleoptera, Chrysomelidae.